This is a small nuclear RNA of Rhinopithecus bieti (black snub-nosed monkey), 141 nucleotides long. Its record names the gene U4. It matches the Rfam family "U4 spliceosomal RNA". Rfam says of the family: U4 small nuclear RNA (U4 snRNA) is a component of the major U2-dependent spliceosome. The structure of U4 snRNA from yeast and human has been reported. The record is from Ensembl. Lineage: Eukaryota; Metazoa; Chordata; Mammalia; Primates; Cercopithecidae.
AAACUUACGUAAGUAGCAGUAUUAUCACUAAUGAGGUUUAUCUGAGAGGCACAGUUCUCGCUCACUGAAAAAUCCCAGUACUCAGCCAUGAAAACUCUCAAUAUAGUCGGCACUGGCAACUUUUGACAGUCUUUAUGGAGA